CGAGUUAUCUGAACCUUCGGGGAACGAUAACGGCGUCGAGCGGCGGACGGGUGAGUAAUGCCUAGGAAAUUGCCCUGAUGUGGGGGAUAACCAUUGGAAACGAUGGCUAAUACCGCAUGAUGCCUACGGGCCAAAGAGGGGGACCUUCGGGCCUCUCGCGUCAGGAUAUGCCUAGGUGGGAUUAGCUAGUUGGUGAGGUAAGGGCUCACCAAGGCGACGAUCCCUAGCUGGUCUGAGAGGAUGAUCAGCCACACUGGAACUGAGACACGGUCCAGACUCCUACGGGAGGCAGCAGUGGGGAAUAUUGCACAAUGGGCGCAAGCCUGAUGCAGCCAUGCCGCGUGUGUGAAGAAGGCCUUCGGGUUGUAAAGCACUUUCAGUCGUGAGGAAGGUAGUGUAGUUAAUAGCUGCAUUAUUUGACGUUAGCGACAGAAGAAGCACCGGCUAACUCCGUGCCAGCAGCCGCGGUAAUACGGAGGGUGCGAGCGUUAAUCGGAAUUACUGGGCGUAAAGCGCAUGCAGGUGGUUUGUUAAGUCAGAUGUGAAAGCCCGGGGCUCAACCUCGGAAUAGCAUUUGAAACUGGCAGACUAGAGUACUGUAGAGGGGGGUAGAAUUUCAGGUGUAGCGGUGAAAUGCGUAGAGAUCUGAAGGAAUACCGGUGGCGAAGGCGGCCCCCUGGACAGAUACUGACACUCAGAUGCGAAAGCGUGGGGAGCAAACAGGAUUAGAUACCCUGGUAGUCCACGCCGUAAACGAUGUCUACUUGGAGGUUGUGGCCUUGAGCCGUGGCUUUCGGAGCUAACGCGUUAAGUAGACCGCCUGGGGAGUACGGUCGCAAGAUUAAAACUCAAAUGAAUUGACGGGGGCCCGCACAAGCGGUGGAGCAUGUGGUUUAAUUCGAUGCAACGCGAAGAACCUUACCUACUCUUGACAUCCAGAGAACUUUCCAGAGAUGGAUUGGUGCCUUCGGGAACUCUGAGACAGGUGCUGCAUGGCUGUCGUCAGCUCGUGUUGUGAAAUGUUGGGUUAAGUCCCGCAACGAGCGCAACCCUUAUCCUUGUUUGCCAGCGAGUAAUGUCGGGAACUCCAGGGAGACUGCCGGUGAUAAACCGGAGGAAGGUGGGGACGACGUCAAGUCAUCAUGGCCCUUACGAGUAGGGCUACACACGUGCUACAAUGGCGCAUACAGAGGGCGGCCAACUUGCGAAAGUGAGCGAAUCCCAAAAAGUGCGUCGUAGUCCGGAUUGGAGUCUGCAACUCGACUCCAUGAAGUCGGAAUCGCUAGUAAUCGUGGAUCAGAAUGCCACGGUGAAUACGUUCCCGGGCCUUGUACACACCGCCCGUCACACCAUGGGAGUGGGCUGCAAAAGAAGUAGGUAGUUUAA
This 1386-nucleotide ribosomal RNA is filed under the name Vibrio sp. RNAcentral's name for it is "bacterial SSU rRNA". It matches the Rfam family "Bacterial small subunit ribosomal RNA", at positions 63 to 1438 of the family's 1533-position model. RNAcentral also lists the same sequence under 1 other name. The record is from RNAcentral. Lineage: Bacteria; Pseudomonadati; Pseudomonadota; Gammaproteobacteria; Vibrionales; Vibrionaceae.